UACAGAGGGGGCCAGCGUUAUUCGGAAUUAUUGGGCGUAAAGGGCGCGUAGGCGGCCAUGCGUGUCUUCCGUGAAAUCCCUCGGCUUAACCGAGGACGCGCGGAAGAAACUGCAAGGCUCGAGUCCGGAAGAGGGGGGCGGAAUUCCCAGUGUAGCGGUGAAAUGCGUAGAUAUUGGGAGGAACACCAGUGGCGAAGGCGGUCCCCUGGGCCGGAACUGACGCUGAGGCGCGAAAGCGUGGGUAGCAAACGGG
This 253-nucleotide ribosomal RNA is filed under the name uncultured bacterium. RNAcentral's name for it is "partial 16S ribosomal RNA". It matches the Rfam family "Bacterial small subunit ribosomal RNA", at positions 524 to 776 of the family's 1533-position model. The record is from RNAcentral.